AACGAACGCUGGCGGUGCGCCUAACACAUGCAAGUCGAGCGCGAAAGUCCCUUCGGGGGCGAGUAGAGCGGCGGACGGGUGAGUAAUACAUGGGUAAUCUACCCCCGAGCUUGGGAUAACCCCGCGAAAGCGGGGCUAAUAUCUGAUAAGACCACAUAACACAAGUUGUGCGGUAAAAGGUGGCUUGAAUUUAUUCUAGCUAUCACUUGAGGAUGAGUCCAUGGCCUAUCAGCUUGUUGGUGAGGUAAGAGCUUACCAAGGCUAUGACGGGUAGCUGGUCUGAGAGGACGACCAGCCACACUGGGACUGAGACACGGCCCAGACUCCUACGGGAGGCAGCAGUGGGGAAUAUUGGGCAAUGGGCGAAAGCCUGACCCAGCGACACCGCGUGGGUGAUGAAAGCCUUCGGGUUGUAAAGCCCUUUCGUGCGGAAAGAACUGUUCCGCGGUUAAUACCCGCCGGAAUUUGACGGUACCGCAGGAAGAAGCACCGGCUAACUCCGUGCCAGCAGCCCG
This 515-nucleotide ribosomal RNA is filed under the name uncultured bacterium. RNAcentral describes it as "bacterial SSU rRNA". It matches the Rfam family "Bacterial small subunit ribosomal RNA", at positions 29 to 517 of the family's 1533-position model. The record is from RNAcentral.